This is a non-coding RNA of Xyrichtys novacula (pearly razorfish), 235 nucleotides long. NCBI's taxonomy places the organism in Eukaryota, Metazoa, Chordata, Actinopteri, Labriformes, Labridae. The record is from the annotation of a GenBank genome assembly.
GGGGUUUUGUUACGGGAUUACGGGGGCGUGGCCUGUAUCCGAUCAUACUCCGACUACGCUGGUUACAUGGUAGAGAAAAUCGAAUUCCAAUCUCAUUAUCUGGGUGUCUUAAUCAGAGUUCUUAAACUCUGAUUAUAGUCGGACUAAGGUGUUUACAUGACCUUCAGUUGUCCGGUCUGAAUCGGAAUAUGGCGAUAAUUCGGUUUUCUUGAGUGUCAUGGAAACGGACUGAAUG